This 31-nucleotide non-coding RNA is filed under the name Rattus norvegicus (Norway rat). The record is from RNAcentral. Lineage: Eukaryota; Metazoa; Chordata; Mammalia; Rodentia; Muridae.
UGAGUUUUUUGGAAGAUUCAUGUUACCUUGC